ACGUUGACCCUAUUUUGUUGGUUUCUAGGAUUGACGUAAUGAUUAAUAGGGAUAGUUGGGA
This 61-nucleotide ribosomal RNA is filed under the name uncultured fungus. RNAcentral's name for it is "partial 18S ribosomal RNA". The record is from RNAcentral. Lineage: Eukaryota; Fungi.